AUCCUCAUACAAUUUUAGAUUGAUGUUUAACAAAUACCAGAAAACAUUUCCAGCGAAUCAAAUGCUUCCUUAGCAAAGUCAAGAGCCUCUGACUUGUCAUAGUGUCCUUUUGAUGACAUUACCAUAGAUAAAACAGCUGGUUAUGGUCCUUUCAUGUCUCCUUCAUCUGAACCCUAAAAAUAAUGUAACAAUCAAUUUCCAAAUGCAUCUUAUUUUCAACCAGGACACUGUGCAUACACAAUUCCACCAUAGAUCCACAACAAGCUGAACAGCCCCAGAUGCAAGAUGCUCCUGUGG
Molecule: long non-coding RNA, 297 nt
Organism: Telopea speciosissima
Lineage: Eukaryota; Viridiplantae; Streptophyta; Magnoliopsida; Proteales; Proteaceae
Exons: 2
Source: RefSeq, a predicted model, not a curated record